UAACGCGUGAGGAACCUGCCUCAAAGAGGGGGACAACAGUUGGAAACGACUGCUAAUACCGCAUAAGCCCACGGUGCCGCAUGGCACAGAGGGAAAAGGAGCAAUCCGCUUUGAGAUGGCCUCGCGUCCGAUUAGCUAGUUGGUGAGGUAACGGCCCACCAAGGCGACGAUCGGUAGCCGGACUGAGAGGUUGAACGGCCACAUUGGGACUGAGACACGGCCCAGACUCCUACGGGAGGCAGCAGUGGGGAAUAUUGCACAAUGGGGGAAACCCUGAUGCAGCGACGCCGCGUGGAGGAAGAAGGUCUUCGGAUUGUAAACUCCUGUUGUUGGGGAAGAUAAUGACGGUACCCAACAAGGAAGUGACGGCUAACUACGUGCCAGCAGCCGCGGUAAAACGUAGGUCACGAGCGUUGUCCGGAAUUACUGGGUGUAAAGGGAGCGCAGGCGGGAAGACAAGUUGGAAGUGAAAUCUAUGGGCUCAACCCAUAAACUGCUUUCAAAACUGUUUUUCUUGAGUAGUGCAGAGGUAGGCGGAAUUCCCGGUGUAGCGGUGGAAUGCGUAGAUAUCGGGAGGAACACCAGUGGCGAAGGCGGCCUACUGGGCACCAACUGACGCUGAGGCUCGAAAGUGUGGGUAGCAAACAGGAUUAGAUACCCUGGUAGUCCACACCGUAAACGAUGAUUACUAGGUGU
RNAcentral lists this ribosomal RNA (696 nucleotides) under uncultured bacterium. RNAcentral describes it as "bacterial SSU rRNA". It matches the Rfam family "Bacterial small subunit ribosomal RNA", at positions 111 to 823 of the family's 1533-position model. The record is from RNAcentral.